Long non-coding RNA from Xenopus laevis (African clawed frog), 1136 nucleotides. RefSeq lists it as uncharacterized. The transcript has 2 exons. The record is from RefSeq and is a predicted model, not a curated record. Lineage: Eukaryota; Metazoa; Chordata; Amphibia; Anura; Pipidae.
UAGGCAAGGCUAGAAGUGAAUGUGUGCAGACAAGAUUAUCUAGCACUUCAAUAUGCACAGUUUAAAUGCAACAUUAUGUAUAGGGCAAAGCAGAGGUCUUCUCAAAUCAUUCUCAAUUGCUUUUUGCAUUUUCUAAAAUGAUAAAUCUUUAUUUUGAGCAGUAACCAUAAGAUCUGAAGUCAGAUUACCCUAUUCUUGUGGUUUUGCCUUUCUGAACUAGGUCAGGGCCACUUAAGACUGAAAAUUGAAACAUUACUUACUUUGAAUGCAGACAGCAAAGCAUGAAGUGUAAAUGAGAUUUCUAAACAAGGGCAGAAUGCAAAUAUAAUGUGGCAUAUUUACUAAUAGUGUACUUUUAUUUCUUUUAAUCAGUAUUUAGUAAUGCAAUCAUAACAGGCUUAGCAGCACUUUUAAUGUCUUAAACUUGAGUGAAAAGUAAAGGCACAAAACGGACUAGUCGGCCCCUUUAUUUAUACAAUCCUUUACAAACCAUGUAUGGCCAUACCCGCACAGGGGCGCUCUGGAACAAACCAUCAACACAUUUUUCCCAAAUGAAAACCUCUUGCGUGUCAUUUAGACUUAACACUCUGCAAAUCCUGCAGCCAUUGCAUUCUGUUUGAAAUGGUAUUUUAAAUGUAAGCAAUACAAUACAAGGGUUAGUGGAAGAGAGAUCUAUGGCUAGGCUAAAGGACACAUGCAUGCAGAGAAAGAACAUGUGGCACAAGACAACCUAUUCUUUGGUAAUCCAAUGCUAACUGAUGCUUCACAACAUUCAGUUGAAAGGAUGUAAGAGAAAAUCAGAUAGGUCGAGGCCCUAAAAACAAUCUCUGUUGGCAUUCAUGGAAAACAAGCUGUAUUAGUUGUCAGCACAAAUUUAUUCUUCAGUUAACAGAUUCAUACUACCAAGGGCAAAAUAACCACACCAUUCAUCCAAUCAAACCUUCCUGAAGAAAAAAAAAUAAUUAUGCAGUGUUAAUUGAAAUGACAUCAGGUUUAUGUUGUCCAGCCCCAAGACUACUGCAACAUCUCAUUUAUACAUAGCAAUUGGAGAUUAAAGUCCCAUUCUCUGAACUUUUUUUUCUUCAGACUGGCUUUAUUCAAUAGUAUGGAUGACUAUAAAUAAGUGUUUCCACUAU